AUUGAACGCUGGCGGAAUGCUUUACACAUGCAAGUCGAACGGCAGCACGGACUUCGGUCUGGUGGCGAGUGGCGAACGGGUGAGUAAUGUAUCGGAACGUGCCCAGUCGUGGGGGAUAACGUAGUGAAAAUUACGCUAAUACCGCAUACGAUCUAUGGAUGAAAGCGGGGGAUCGCAAGACCUCGCGCGCUUGGAGCGGCCGAUAUCAGAUUAGGUAGUUGGUGGGGUAAAGGCCCACCAGGCCAACGACCUGCAGCCGGUCUGAGAGGACUACCAGCCACACUGGAACUGAGACACGGUCCAGACUACUACGGGAGGCAGCAGUGGGGAAUAGUGGACAAUGGGCGAAAGCCUGAUCCAGCCAUUCCGCGUGCAGGAUGAAGGCCCUCGGGUUGUAAACUGCUUUUGUACAUAGCGAAAAGGUUUCUACUAAUACUAGGAGCUCAUGACGGUACUGUAAGAAUAAGCACCGGCUAACUACGUGCCAGCCGCCGCAGUAA
Molecule: ribosomal RNA, 500 nt
Filed under: uncultured bacterium
Lineage: Bacteria
Description: partial 16S ribosomal RNA
Rfam family: Bacterial small subunit ribosomal RNA
Source: RNAcentral